RNAcentral lists this unclassified non-coding RNA (400 nucleotides) under uncultured fungus. RNAcentral's name for it is "sequence contains ITS1". The record is from RNAcentral. Lineage: Eukaryota; Fungi.
CCGUCAAUUCAUUUGAGUUUCAACCUUGCGGCCGUACUCCCCAGGCGGUCAACUUCACGCGUUAGCUUCGUUACUGAUCCAGUGAAGGACCAACAACCAGUUGACAUCGUUUAGGGCGUGGACUACCAGGGUAUCUAAUCCUGUUUGCUCCCCACGCUUUCGUGCAUGAGCGUCAGUGCAGGCCCAGGGGAUUGCCUUCGCCAUCGGUGUUCCUCCGCAUAUCUACGCAUUUCACUGCUACACGCGGAAUUCCAUCCCCCUCUGCCGCACUCCAGCGAUGCAGUCACAAAUGCAGUUCCCAGGUUAAGCCCGGGGAUUUCACACCUGUCUUACAUCACCGCCUGCGCACGCUUUACGCCCAGUAAUUCCGAUUAACGCUUGCACCCUACGUAUUACCGCG